ACUCCUACGGGAGGCAGCAGUGAGGAAUAUUGGUCAAUGGGCGCAAGCCUGAACCAGCCAUGCCGCGUGCAGGAAGACUGCCUUAUGGGUUGUAAACUGCUUUUAUAUGGGAAGAAACCCNCCUCUACGUGUGAGUAGGCUUGACGGUACCAUAAGAAUAAGCACCGGCUAACUCCGUGCCAGCAGCCGCGGUAAUACGGAGGGUGCAAGCGUUAUCCGGAAUCAUUGGGUUUAAAGGGUCCGCAGGCGGUCAAUUAAGUCAGAGGUGAAAUCCUAUAGCUUAACUAUAGAACUGCCUUUGAUACUGGUUGACUUGAGUUAUACGGAAGUAGGUAGAAUGUGUAGUGUAGCGGUGAAAUGCAUAGAUAUUACACAGAAUACCGAUUGCGAAGGCAGCCUACUACGUAUAUACUGACGCUCAUGGACGAAAGCGUGGGAGG
This 440-nucleotide ribosomal RNA is filed under the name uncultured bacterium. RNAcentral's name for it is "bacterial SSU rRNA". It matches the Rfam family "Bacterial small subunit ribosomal RNA", at positions 335 to 768 of the family's 1533-position model. The record is from RNAcentral.